This 74-nucleotide transfer RNA is filed under the name Planctomycetes bacterium GWC2_45_44. Its description in RNAcentral is "tRNA-Arg". It matches the Rfam family "tRNA". From Rfam's summary of the family: Transfer RNA (tRNA) molecules are approximately 80 nucleotides in length. Their secondary structure includes four short double-helical elements and three loops (D, anti-codon, and T loops). RNAcentral also lists the same sequence under 1 other name. The record is from RNAcentral. Lineage: Bacteria; Pseudomonadati; Planctomycetota.
GCGCUCGUAGCUCAGUUGGAUAGAGCGUCGGUUUCCUAAACCGAAGGUCAGAAGUUCGAAUCUCCUCGGGCGCA